GUGCACCAGUCGAGAAACCUCCGCAAUGCGCGAAAGCGCGACGGGUUACCCGGACGUGCCGUCCGCUGAGGACGGCUUUUGUCCCACGUGUAGCCAGCUGGGCGGAAUAAAGGAGAGGGCGAAGUCUGGUGUCAGCCGCCGCGGUAAUACCAGCUCUCCGAGUGGUGGGGACGCUUAUUGGGCCUAAAGCAUCCGUAGCCGGUCUGGCAAGUCCCCUUGUUAAAUCCAACGAUUCAAUCGUUGGACUGCAAGGGAUACUGCCAGACUAGGGGCGGGAGGAGGCCGACGGUA
Molecule: ribosomal RNA, 291 nt
Filed under: uncultured microorganism
Description: partial 16S ribosomal RNA
Rfam family: Archaeal small subunit ribosomal RNA
Source: RNAcentral